This 484-nucleotide ribosomal RNA is filed under the name uncultured bacterium. RNAcentral describes it as "bacterial SSU rRNA". It matches the Rfam family "Bacterial small subunit ribosomal RNA", at positions 501 to 985 of the family's 1533-position model. The record is from RNAcentral.
CUACGUGCCAGCAGCCGCGGUAAUACGGAAGGUCCGGGCGUUAUCCGGAUUUAUUGGGUUUAAAGGGAGCGUAGGCCGGAGAUUAAGUGUGUUGUGAAAUGUAGACGCUCAACGUCUGACUUGCAGCGCAUACUGGUUUCCUUGAGUACGCACAACGUUGGCGGAAUUCGUCGUGUAGCGGUGAAAUGCUUAGAUAUGACGAAGAACUCCGAUUGCGAAGGCAGCUGACGGGAGCGCAACUGACGCUGAAGCUCGAGGGUGCGGGUAUCGAACAGGAUUAGAUACCCUGGUAGUCCGCACAGUAAACGAUGGACGCCCGUUGUUAGUUCACUUAUGAAUUAGCGACCAAGCGAAAGCAUUAAGCAUCCCACCUGGGGAGUACGCCGGCAACGGUGAAACUCAAAGGAAUUGACGGGGGCCCGCACAAGCGGAGGAACAUGUGGUUUAAUUCGAUGAUACGCGAGGAACCUUACCCGGGCUUGAA